CCUGAGGCAGGGCCUCCUCAAGCUGAUGCCACAAGGAAGCAAAGAAGUUGAAGAAUCUGUCCUGGGGGACCACAGCAGUACUGUAGCAGGACUCCCAAGUUCUUCAGCUUUGGGACUCGGACUGGUUUCCUUGCUCCUCAGCUUGCAGACAACCUAUUGGACCUUGUGAUCGGAGAUGAGAGAACUCAACAAGGCGUGGCAGGCAAUGCCUUUCCGCAG
This is a long non-coding RNA of Homo sapiens (human), 219 nucleotides long. RefSeq annotates it as TMEM131L antisense RNA 1. The record is from RefSeq and is a predicted model, not a curated record. The transcript is spliced from 3 exons. NCBI's taxonomy places the organism in Eukaryota, Metazoa, Chordata, Mammalia, Primates, Hominidae.